AUCCAGCUCAUCCUCAAUCCCAACAAAAGCGUGGGUACACGUCAGCAUCUCCAAACCCAACUGCGAACACGGAAGCCGGUGACGAGGGCGACUGAUGGGACGGCGGACAGUGCGUACCCGGACGUGGUGAGUUGGAGGUCGGGGCAGGCGGUUGGGGCGGAGGAGACGAUGGCGAGGGCGAGUAGGAUGUUUUGGGAGAGUACUGAGAUCUCUCCGUCGGGAGAGGGUUUGAAAUGUUAUUUUGCAAGGUUUUGGACCAAUAAAUCGUGCUUCUUACUCGAGUGUAUGAUUUUGAAUAUUGGGUGCACUUGGUCUAGUCCAUCGCUAAGUAUAUUAGCUACUCAUUCGUUGAGAAAUGGAUUACCAAUAGAUUAGAGUUUCGUUUGAGUCAAAAUCAUUGAAUAUCGCGCCAUAGGUUGAAUGCGUAGUGAUGUAGACAAUGUUGGGCUUUAAGGGGG
RNAcentral lists this long non-coding RNA (458 nucleotides) under Linum usitatissimum (flax). RNAcentral's name for it is "long non-coding RNA (LUSI_LNC001634)". The record is from RNAcentral. Lineage: Eukaryota; Viridiplantae; Streptophyta; Magnoliopsida; Malpighiales; Linaceae.